Etheostoma spectabile (orangethroat darter) is the source of this 166-nucleotide long non-coding RNA. RefSeq lists it as uncharacterized. Lineage: Eukaryota; Metazoa; Chordata; Actinopteri; Perciformes; Percidae. The transcript is spliced from 2 exons. The record is from RefSeq and is a predicted model, not a curated record.
UUUCUUUUCCGAAGCAUUGCUGCACGGGACGCUGCGAUACCGUUAGCUAGAAGCUGAAUUAAACCCAAUGGUUAAAAAACUGACAGCUUGCGGUGUAACGUGUGACUGUAUUCCCUGUAGAGGAGUCCGACACCGGGACGUAACGGUCUGCAGCUCCCGGUGUCGG